UCCACUCCACCACCUCCAGCAUGAGCUGUGACGAGAUGAGCCGCCGCCGCCGCCGCCGCCCACGCUCGCCGCCGCCGCCGCCCGCGCCGGUGCCGCCGCUGGAGGACGACAACCUGCUCUCCGAGAUACUCCUCCGCCUCCCGCCAGAUCCGUCCUCCCUCCCUCGCGCCUCCCUCGUCUCCAAGCGCUGGCUCGGCCUCGUCUCCGACCCCGGCUUCUGUCGCCGCUUCCGCCUCCACCACCGCCACAACCCUCCUCUCAUUGGUUUCUUCGAGGGCUUCCGUUUCCAACCUACGAUGGAUCCCCCCAAUCGUGUCCCGGAUGGCCACUUCUCCGUGCGCAUCGACACCGGCGGCAUGUUCAGGAAUUUUGGAUCCCGCCAUGGCCUCCUACUCACCUUCCACGGAACAGGGAACCAGCUCCUGGUGUGGGACCCCUUCAACGUCGCCCAGCACCGCGUAGCCGUUCCCCCAGGGUUCGAUGAGAAGAAGCACUUUAUCAGUGGGGCGGUGUAUCGCGCCGCCGGAGACAUCCAACACUUCCAGGUGGUCUUGGUAAGCGCAGAGACAGACGAGCUUCAGCAUAGACAGGUCAUCGCCCGCGUUUACUCGUCGGAGACUGGCGCAUGGGGUGAUCGCAUCUCAACACCAUGUUCAUCCAAACUUCCCACCAAUAUGGGCUUUAGUCUGAGUGUGCUAGUUGGGCAUUCCCUUUACUGGUUGUUCGUGGACAUAUCGACUGGCAGAGUGGAUGGCAUAGUUGAGUUUGAUUUGGAGAUGCAGAUCCUAGCUGUGAAACCGAUGCCAGUCGAUAUUGCCAAGGAAAAACAGGGCAAAUUCCAGCUUAUGCGGGCAGAGGGCGGUGGCCUUGGUAUUUUCUUUCUGUUAAAAUUCAGCGCCCAGUUAUGGAAGAUGGAGACCGAUUCUGAUGGUGUUGCAUCAUGGGUGCUCGGAAGAACCGUUGAACUGGACAAGCUACUUCCCUUGAAUCUAGAAGAGGAAGAGAACUCAGAAGAGGAGGAGUGCUCAGAAGAGGAAGAUAACGAGUUCCCAUUCCCAGGUAUACAAGGGUUUGCUGAAUACAAUAAUGUGGUUUUCCUGUGGACACAUAUCCACAACUUCACAGUCCAGCUUGAGUCACUGCAGUUCAAGAAAGUGUCCAGAACACACAUGCUGGCUCGCUAUCAUCCAUUUGAAAGUGCCUAUGCUGCAGCUACAGUGCAGAUGCUUCUCAAGAUGAGAUACGUUACGUUUGGAAAUUGAGACAACUACAUGAAAGAAAAAACAGCAUGAACCAAGUGAGAUGUCGAAUAGGCGUGGGACGUCGUGCGGACGAGCUUGUCAGCACUGGCACCCGGGCUGCCAAAGCAACACCGGCGCCCGAGCAGCAAGGCCCGAGCGACCAACGGAGCAGCGGCGCCCGAGUUGAGGCAGCCGACGAGCCUGACGCAGCCGUCCCGACGCAGCCGAGGACGAGGCCGGCGAGGUAGACCGCCGGGCCGUCAUGCAGACGCGGCGGAGGCGGGUGAUGUGGAUCGAUGGGCGGGUCGGCGCGCGAGCGACGGCUAUGAUUGGUUGUCGCAUGGCGCGAGGCCGUCGGGUCGGGGAGAUGCAGGUGUCCCGGUCGAAGCAGGGCGACGGGCGGACCGACGCGCGGACGACGGCUGGCCCUGACGGGCCGCCCCGGCGCGCGUGGCCGUCGGGUCGGAGGAGAGGCCGGCUGGUCGCGCCGGGGUCGGAGUAGAGGCGCUCGGGGUCGACGGCGGCGGUGGGCGACGCAAACCGAUCAAGAAUAGAUCAGAAAACCAAAAAGAAACCGCGCGAUCAAGAUGACCGGCGGUAGAGAGAAAACCCUGGAGCAAGGCUCGGGGAAAAGACUCUCUAGGGCAGCCGGUCAACACGACCGGCGGACGAACCCUAGGUACGGGCGGCGCGGCACCCGCCGACGGUCAUGGAAGCCGACCGCCCCGGGGGCGACGCGCGGGUGCGGAAGCGGCGGCGGCUAGGGUUUAGGAUCGACUUGCGAUAGUAUAAUGUAUCCGAGCCAAGAGGUCUUGGGUUCAAGACCUCUUGGCUCGGAUACCAUGUUAGAAGGGAGAGAGGGAUUCGGUGGAAUAGUUCGUUGUAUUGCUUGAGCCUGGUGGGCAUAUAUAUAGGAGUACAAUGACCAACUUGGAGUACAAGACAAGGUAGGAACAAAUCCUAGUCUAUCCUAUACUUCCUAAUAUACAUUAUACUCAACAUUACUAAUCUUACAUCCACAAUAAUGACUUGGUUUGAUACUUGAAAAACAUUUGUUCUGCCAGUGGCAAGUUAGAAAAAUAAUAAUUUGAGUUUAUUUCAUCUUUGCUGGUUAAAUGUAUUCGAACAUAUGAAUAGUCAUGAUCCUUUUUAUUGCUAGAGUUUAUUAGUAUGGCUAUAUUUUAUUUUAUCCGAUAUGGCAUGGAGCGAGCUUAAGCAUAAUUUUAGGUAACCUGCCCCUUCAGGUCAGGUCAGCUAAUAGUCUGAGAGCGCAUAUUCUUCAUUUUUAUGACACUAGUGAGUAAAUUCUUUUUUGAGAAUAUUCUCUUUAUUUGAUAGUAGAUGGGUAUAUGUUUAUCUACUCAUCGUCAUGAUAUAUUAAACCCGAGUUAUUUUCCUCAAAUUAUAUAUGUGUGCUUAUCCAAAUAUCUCAUCGAUUUCCCCUCGUAUCUACUUAAUCUGAUACGAAUGGUACUAUUAGUGCAUAGCUGCAGUGCAGAUGUUUCUCAAGACGAGAUACAUAAUGGUUGGAAUGCCCCCUUGUAGGCACGGGCAUUGGUGGUGGACAUGAUGGGACUAAACUUUUGCACAAUACCUAAGAUGAUUGGUCAGAUGGAUAUGCUAGUGUGGUGUAUUAAUAGAGUAAGUAAGCUUAUCUUUAAAUAGUAGCACAAUGAAAUAUUUCCCUUUCUUUUGCUUCAUUGAUAAUUUCUGUUUACUUUUACGGGUUGCAACAUUGCAUUUGCUAUUUUUGUGGCUACGAAUCCAAGCGUGAUUUGUAAGUUGUCCCCUGUACACGAGUAAUUGAUGCCCAACAAUACUGAGCAUUUGGCUUUGAACUUCGUUUUUUUAAACUAGGGCCUAUAUAAAUUGCCAUCUCACAUUGCUGUUCACUGGGAUUGUUGUAAUGCCGAGUGCUUCGUUGCAAUUUUUUAAUAAUCUUACUUGAUAUAUCUGGUUGUUUUCAGUAACUCUAUAGUUUAUUUUUUUCUCAUCCUCACUAAUUACUCCCUCCGUUCCUUAAUAUAAGACCUUUUAACUACUCCCUCCGUUCCUAAAUAUAAGUCUUUGUAGAGAUUCCACUAUGAACUACAUACGGAUGUAUAUAGAUGCAUUUUAGAGUGUAGAUUCACUCAUUUUGCUCCGUAUGUGGUCCAUAGUGAAAUCUCUCCAAAGACUUAUAUUUAGGAACGGAGGGAGUAUUUCAAAAUAUUGACUACAUACAUACUAAAAUGAGUGAACAUACAUACUAAAAUGUGUCUAGAUACAUAAGAAUCAAUAAAAAGCUAAAAGGUCUUAUAUUAGGAAACGGAGGGAGUAUUUGAGAUUGAAAGCAUGCAAAACAUUAAAGCUAAAUCUUGCAAAUACAAUUUUGAGAUAGUAUCGAACUUAUAACAUUCUCACUAUAGUUUUUCACCCUCAGUUUGUAACUAAAAUUUACAUAUCAGAUUUCUAAAUCCAAAGUGAGAACUGUUUACUAUACUACGUUAAGGUUUUAUGUUUACAUUUUUUCAUAAGAGAAUAAUAAAUCUGAACACAUAGUUUUUGUUUUUACCUUGGCUGCCUUGACUAUGGUCUUCCCUAAUACCUUUGUUAAACCUCUUCCAAGAUUCACCUCGCAUACAUCCCUUAUGCUCUAUCCAUUCAGACCAAAGUACCUAAAUCAAAGGUCUUCCACCUCGAGAACUUUUGGGUUGACCACCCAGGCUUCAGAGUUAUUCCAACAAGCUUGGAGUCUCCCUUCGAAACACUGAGACGGCAGAGGCACAUCUCUUAUAUUUUCUACUCCCUCCAUUCCAAAAUAAGUGUCGUGGUUUUAGUUCAAUUAGAGGAGCCUUUAAAAUCCGGAGCAGAAAUCCUUCCUGCCUCUCAUCGCUAUUGCAAAUGUGAACUUAGUCGUCAACCUUAUCAUCGGACUUGAAGAACAAAGGCCUAUUCUUGACUUUAGGAAUUUGCCAACCCCUAUAUAUCACCUCUGAACUGAUACGGAAUCUGCUAUUUUUGACUCUUUAGUUAAAUAUACGUAUCACAAUGUAAUCUGCUGUACAUGGCAGUCAUCAUUGGAGUGAAAUAGUGAAUCAUGACUGAACAAGGAGCAGUUCCAUCCAAAUAAAUAUCAUCUUUUGAAUGAAGGCAAUAUAAAUUGCUAUAAGUGGAACACUUACACAGUCAAUUUUAGUCUUGAUCAAUGGGGUGCAGAAGGAAGACGAUGGGCAACGAUGGUGGCGAAGCUCCAGCAUGCAGCGGCACCUACCUAGCUCGUAUAUUCCGUAUAUGAGGAACAGUACAACCUUGUUUGACAAAUGACAUUGAUUAUUGCUCCGCAGGUGCAGAGAUGGCCUGUUGGGCGUAGGCUCUUCCGUUCUGUGUGCCCGAGAUGUAGAAAUGGCUUGUUCGGCUGAGAUCAUUUGGUGUGGUCCCUCUUCGUACUACUCGUAGCGCGCACCGGUGAACUGAUCUAUGCAGUGGGCUUGUAAAAAAUUAAUUGCGUAAGUUGCUGACUUGUAGAAUUAUUAUGUUGAAACUCUUAUCCUGUCCUGGCUAAUGAAUGUUGGAUGUUGAACUGUAACUGCCUGCCUGGUGCUGCUUUCCUUCUUUUUUCUUUUCUUUGAGGCGGCGACUGGAGUAUUGGUUGAGUUUGUUAUCGUCUGAAGUAUUUUGUGAGUUAGCUUCUUAUUAUUCUGCUGAAAAAGGUUGGGCCUCUGAACUGAAGAUGUAAGAUAGUCUGCUCCGUGUUGCAAGCUGGUGUCAUUUGUUCUUACUAGGAUGGGCACAACCAAGAAGAAAAAUGAAA
Triticum aestivum (bread wheat) is the source of this 5034-nucleotide RNA transcript. RefSeq lists it as uncharacterized. The record is from RefSeq and is a predicted model, not a curated record. NCBI's taxonomy places the organism in Eukaryota, Viridiplantae, Streptophyta, Magnoliopsida, Poales, Poaceae. The transcript has 3 exons.